UUUUGCUGUCUAAUCUGUUUUGUGUGUGUUGCUUCCUCUUUAUGUUUUGCAGAUGGAAUCUAGAUCCGGCGCUUCAAAGAAGAGAAAGGGAGGGAACACUUCCCGUCCCGUAACAAUACAGUUUGAUACCGACAAAUUUGUCGGGCCGAAGCAAGCCGCAAGGUACAUUGCUUUGGAGAAGCGGAAAAUUCUACCGGAGAAGAGAUUCGUCAUCAACCCUGAAG
Molecule: long non-coding RNA, 224 nt
Filed under: Lathyrus oleraceus (garden pea)
Lineage: Eukaryota; Viridiplantae; Streptophyta; Magnoliopsida; Fabales; Fabaceae
Description: Pisum sativum (pea) long non-coding RNA (PSAT_LNC010878)
Source: RNAcentral